CCCGUUUCCAGGGGACAGUACCCGGAUUCACAAAUCUGUCCCCGGACAAAAUCCGUUCCUGGAAUGUCUCCAGAUUUCAUUUAAUGUCCCCGGAGUUAUAUUUUAAGUGUUGUAGAUUUAUUAGUAGGGAAUGAAUGUUGUGUGAUUGGUUCAAUGGCACAAGUCACAUCAUAUGGGGGCUUCCGGUGAGGCAAAAUGGCAGACGCCAUGGCAGCGAGCAGCUCCUGAAGCCAGCCAGAGCCAACUACACUACCAGGCUGGCUCUAGGCUGCUGAGACUGCUGCUGCCACUGCCACUGCCAAAGGAGAACCAGGGACGCCCAGCGUGUCAACUGGGGGAACCGCUGACUCCCCCCCCCCCCACGGCACAAAUCAAGCUGGGAGCAAAAGUGCCUGGCCGACUGCCAAGCGGCGCUCAGGGACCAGGAAAACCCCUGAGCUGAUGCAGGGAGAAGGAGGAGAGAAGGAGGAGAAGGAAGAGAGAGAAAGAGGAAGGAGAAAAAAGAGGGGAGCCCUGACCUUGCGGUGCUGCUGCCGUCGCUGAGGAGAAGUGGUAGGAGAGCACCAGGAGGGCAAGGAUUGAUCCCAGGCCCGACCUGAGCCUCCAUGGCGGCUAGCACUCCAGGCUGGGGCCCAGAAGAAGGCCACGCGACAAAGGAGACCAUAGAAGAGAAGAUAUUACUUCUUUUUAAAAAAAUAAUAAUAAUAACAACUUUUUUAAAAAUAACUUUUUUUCUCCUCUUUUCAAAAAAAGUAGAAGUGUCCCCAAAUUCGUUUUAAAAAAUCUGGUAACCUUAAUCUAGUCCAAACCCCUAUGGUUAAGGAAUAUGCAGCUGUCCCAUCCAGGGAUCAAACCUUCAAUCUUGGCGUUAUCAGCACCAACUGAGCUAUCCAGGCACAAGAGGAGGAAGAAGACAGCCAGUGCCACUCCAUAGACUGGUUGCAAGUAGAAGACAGGCAGGUGGGGGGCUGACUGAGGGUAUACUGAGGUUGGUGGGGCAACCCUCCUUCCUUCCUUCCUUCCUUCCUUCCUUCCUCCCUCCCUCCCUCCCUCCCUCCCUCCCUCCCUCCCUCCCUCCCGUGCUUUGCUUUGCAUUUACAUCAUCUGAAGAAGACCUUGUGGACUCAAGAGCUUGCUCGCUGUUUGGUAAGGUUUGGAUUGGCAUUCACAAAAUUUGGGGAUUUUUCAAAAAUAAAAUAAAAUGGCAGUUUAACCCUUAGCCAUGCGUGCUAAUAUACCCGAUCUCUUCUGGCUUAUUCAUGGGUUUCUCUCUGAUUAGCAUUUAUUAAUUUGGCAUUGGAGGAUUGGCAAAUCGCACCCAGGUAAUGACAUCAUCACCCUUCGGCAACAUAAGUCAUCCCUUUGUCCAAGUCUGUCUAGGCAGAGAAAGAUACUUUAAAGGCUGUAAUCUUAUACCCGCUUACCCAUGAGUAAGCUGCAUUGCACUCAAUGGGAUUUACUGCUUAGUAGACAAACAUAGGCUUGUGCUAUAAAGCAGGUUUUGUCUUUAUUACGAUAUGCUGUUCCGAACAGCCUGCAAAAUCCCCAUCUAAGCUAUGAUUUAACGCCAUAUUUAUUUGCUAAUUAACAUGUCCUCUGGUGUGUGUGUGUGUGUGUGUUUCUCUCUCUCUCUCUCUCUCUCUCUCUCAAAGGGUUGAAAGCUAGCAUUCUGUAUAAGAGAGCGUGUCAAGUCAUACCACAUGCAGUGACAAAUGUGCAUUAUACAAAGUGUGUCAUGGACAAAAUUAGUUUACAGUCUUAGCUGGCAGCAUUUCUCAUCCCUGUGUUCUGAAUCACUUUCUCCUUCAUCAAGCCACAAAUUAAAACUGUCCCAGUGUGUGCAUAUAUUACAUUUCUCCUACGGUUGGGAUUAGUGACUGAGACACGGAAUUAGCAACGUGCUGUACUCAUUAUGAUAUGGGCUGUAUUCUAUUAAAUUUCUAUUUCUUUGAAACAAGCAGAGCCAUGAGUUGGUGGUUGUCAUGUUUCAGUUGCCUGCAGCCAGCAAGGCUAUUCCAUGCAAAAAGCCAAUUAGCGCCCCUCCUUCCCUUGCAGCAAAACAAACUCUACAGUCAACAAAUUAAUAUAUUUGAUUCUCAGAUGCAACAGACCCAUGCUCAGAACUUCUGCAUAUUACUGUGUUUUGCACCAAACUUUCAGAAGCGUGUUCUGAACAAAUAUUUAAGUACACCUUAUUUGCCAUCACAGGCGCAGCAUGAUCCCUGCAGCAUAGUAAGUAGGGUUGCCAUGUGUCCAGAUUUUCCCAGACAUAGGCAGAAUACUGCAGUUAGCAGCAGUGUCCGGGUGGAAAUCAGGCAAAUGUCCAGAAAAAUCCAGAUGUAUGGCAGCCCUUGUUGGCAGUGCCACAUUUGCCUUUCCCCAUAAAAAUAGCUCAAAAACGGCAUAUUUUCCGAUUUUGCCCGAAAAGCUCAACAACUUUGCCGGAUUUUCACUGUUUGAAAUAUGGCAAUCCUAGUGGUAAGGGCCAGAAAACAUAGAAAUAAACACAAGAGAUUGGCAUUGGGUUGAAAGAGGCCACAACCUUUUACAGAUUACAGAUGUAAGUAGAUUUUGGCGAAGGCACUAGGUAUGUAUCUGGUAUCAAGCAGCCCGCCUGCUGGUUGAUAAAUAUGGUGGGGUCGACCCAGAGCUCAGGAGUCACGCCUAACAUGGACCGGAUGUUAUCAGCCCCAUGUGGGCCACCAUUGAGAAAGGUGCUGGGCCCAUUGGCCCCCAUGUGGGCUCCCGAACAGAGAGACCCUUCCUGGACCUCUUUAACAGGGGGUCAGCUAAGGAUCCAAGCCAAUGCCUUAUCCACCCAAGUUGUGACUGUUGCUGGGAGGCAGAUGAAAACCUGCAGAACAGCCACUUUGUCCGCAGGAAAAAAAUCCACUCUGGCCCUGAAUACAUCCACUGAAUGAACCAUAGCAAUGGCCUCAAGUCAGCCUGCCUGCUCACCUUUGUACAGACCUCUCCCAGUCUGGGUGGGCAGGUGAUCAAUCCAGAAAUGGCCUACGAAUAGAGCUCACUCCACAACAUCACCCUCUUAAGUACUGGCAGGGGGUGGACCUGAUCCACCCUUUCCCCUGCGACCAGAUUGGCCAUUGCGAUGGGCCCCUUCCCUGUCAGCCACUGCAGUUGGAAAUGGGAGGCUCCAGACUUCCCUGCUAUGGCCGCUGUAGGGUUUACACUCCAUUUUGCGAAGGCAAACCUCACACAAAGACGUGCCACAGCAUGUCAAGGAGCGUUACGCUUGCUUUCCCUGACCUUUUGCCUUCUUGGGUAGAAGACAGGGUUUUCCCCCUGUUUGCUUAGACAUAUCGCUUGGCUGGAGCAUGGCGGGGAAAGCAGACGUUAUCAAGUAUCGGGGAGGGGGAGGACAUUUGAGGGAAGCACCUGCCGACAUGUGUAUUUGCUAAUGCUGGAAAUGUCCUUAGAUGGAAAUAUGUUAAAGAAGUUCAGAGUGGUUUCACUACUGCUUUCCAGCUGUUGAUUUUUGCCAAUAAAAGAGGCUCUGCCAAGCUAGCCGAUAGCUUGCUUCCACACAGCUCACUUGCAUUCAACCUCGUGUCAUCUCCGUUACUUCUACAGGUGCAGGAGGGUGAUGGGCUUAUGAUGAGGCUACGGUCAUACCUCUCCCCCAGAGCCUCAGGUGAGUGGGAACUGUAUUGCAACACAACAAAUAAAGCCAAGCAUGAAUAAGAGAGCAUGCAAUAAAUGUGAAUGAAGCCAUAGCUCAAAGGUUAUGUAAGUAAACUAACAUCAGGACUACAGCUCAGGACUACAGGGUCUCUCCAUCAGCUCACCAGGGAUUUCUCAGUGGGUAAAGCAUGAAACUUUUAAUCUCAGGGUUCUGGGUUUGAGCCGCUUGUUGGGCAAAAGAUUCCUGCAUUGCAAGGGGUUGGACUGCAUCAUCUAGAAUUGUAUGAUUCCACAUUGUAUGUAUGUAUUGUAUGUAUGAUUCUAGCUGGGCAGAGCCAGAUUAAAGUCUUUGUCAGCCCUAGACAGGCACUCUCAUAAUCAUUGGUCCCCAAGACAGAGCUAGUAAAUACAGUGGUACCUCGGUUCUCGGAGGUAAUCUGUUCCAGAAGACCGUUUGACUUCCGAAACAUUCGAAAACCAAGGCGCAAAGGGCUGGCUGCAAGUUCAAUUGAGAAAAUUGAAAAACACGCAGUGGAAGCUGUUCGACUUCCGAGGUGCAUUUGAAAAUGGAAGCAUUUACUUCCGGGUUUCAGCGUUCGAAAACCGAAAUGUUCGGCUUCUGAGACACUCGAAAACCAAGGUACCACUGUACUGGUAAUGGCAUUUGAGGGGCAUUCAAGUAUUUAAUUGUUAGACACAGCUAGACAUAGUACAGAUGCAUCCUGACUAAUCACUGCUCUGGCGGUAGCUGAAAGGUUUAUUCGUCUUUUGAGAUUUCAUGAAAUUUGACAUCCCAUUGAGCCACCAAGGGAAAGAAGUUGUGAUACAUCUCUGUGAUGACACUGAGCACCUCAGAGUUGCCAGCUUGCAAUUUCCAUAAUAGCUCUGUUCUAAGCUCUCUGCUUUGCCUUCCACUCCAUUGGCUAAAUGGCCUUGAGCGGCUUUGGUUUUCAGCUGUAGCUAAUGGAGGUAUCAGGCUGCUCUAACUGGAUGCUGCAAGUUUCAGACAGGGUCGAGGGGAGUCUUGAGCCUUGUGCUCCUUUGAGGCUAGAAAUAGAAACUGGUAUCUGUGCAAGUUUUACAACCUGUCCCUAAUGUAACAUCACAGCGCAGUGAAUGACUUGGUCAGGAGGCCAGGAGAAAGAAGAACCUGGAGAUUUAAAAGAAGAACUAAAAACAUCUGAGUAAACAGCACAUAGAGGGAGGAUAUUCAAACCACAUGUUGUUAAGAAGUAACCAGGGCAGAAAAGAUAUUGCAGUAAUAAUUUGCCAUAAAGUGCAUGGACCAGUUUCAAGCAGACUUAUCCUCCCUAAUGACCCCACAGAUGGCGACCUCAUUAUACUUUUAUAUUUGACCUCUGAACAUUCAUUGCCUUUAAAAGCCUCCUUCAUAUUUUAUUUUGACCCUGAAUAAUAGAACACUGCGGUCUUGAAAACAAAUAAUUUUUUUUUCAGAGUUAUGUAAUUUUGGAUCAGUGGGAGCAUGAAAGUUCAAACCUGACUUGUAACACUGUAAUGUUCAUUUUGCUGGAUGCAAAUCCUAGGUGACAUUCAGCACCAAAUGAUCAUGAAAUGGGCUGCAUAUUUUAAUAACUGUAUUUAAUUUAAUCUUUGGGGUAUUUUAACUUUUUUGUAUGUCUUAAAGUAGGGUUGUAAUUUUUUCUUGGUUUUGCUGUUUUAUCUUUUGUAGACCAUUUUGAGGUUGUUGGGGUUUGUUUUUUCAAUCAAGUGGGAUAUAAAUUGUAUUUUUUCAAGUCAUCUUGAAAGAACCAAGCUUUUGGGUAGUCAUAGAGUUUUCUCAAUGUCUCUUGCUGAACUGAAGGGACACAGUCCAAUUCUAUGCAUAACUACCGUAUUUUUUGCACCAUAACACUCACUUUUUUCCUCCUAGAAAGUAAGGGGAAAUGUCUGUGUGUGUUAUGGAGGGAAUGCCUAUGGGUGGCAUGCCUACGGGUUUUCCUCCUCUAAAAACUACGUGCAUGUUAUGGUCGGGUGCAUGUUAUAGAGCGAAAAAUACGGUACUUUGUAGGGCACUCAUAAGUAAGCCAUCAAAGGAUUGCAGUCAUUGGAUGCAUCAAGGGACAGAAGAUAAAUUUGAUGCAGUUCACAUUUAAAGGUGAAUCUAGCUAUCAGACACUUUCCAAAGCAAUCUGAGAACUGAAACGGAUGUCUGUCAAGAUGUGCAUGUCUCUCAAUUUUGCAGUACAGUUCUCCAGCCAAGUAAUGUGUACAAAAAUGCAUAUAUUAGUGUCAGAGCUGGCUCCAGGUCCCAGCUCACAGAGGACCAACGCUAGCCGGCAGUAAUGUACAAAAGUCUUUAUUGAAGUACAGUUUCCAUUUUCAAGCCGGAGCGCCCCAGCUCUACGUCUAGGGGUUAGAUCGGCGAAGCUCCAUCUGAGUCUCCGCCCCUGUACACCAGUUUAAGAUUCUAGCCUUACUCCACCUCUUACGUCUCUCCUUUCUCCUCUGGGUCCUGCUACCCCCCAGGGUCCCUUCCUUCCUGGAUUCUUCUGACGCUGACCCCCCUGACUCCUCCCCCUCUUUUCGGCGGGCUUUGGGACCUGGCUCCCUAUCCGGGCUGCCAACUGCGCCGCCCUCCUGUACAUUUGAACUUGGCGCGCGCGCCCAGCCUUCAACCUUCCUCUCGACCGUUUCCUCGCUCCCCGAUGGAGCGUGGCCAAUCCUGACUCAUGUCCUCCCACUGGCAGUGCGCCGCCUGAUCCCGAUGCCUGGGACUCCUCCCCCCUACUGCACUCUGGUGUGGACGCUGGUCCUGAUUUCCAACUGCUGCUCUCUGAGUCCCCUCUGGCCCCUUCUUCCUGGGGUGUCCCCCUCGGCACCCCCUUGCUCUGACCAAGGGAGCCCCUUUCUGUGAAUCUUCCGAUUCGCUGGAAAGACUCAGAGACCUCGGACCGCUGUCAUCGCUAACAUUUCCUUCGGACUCCUCCCCCUCGCUCUCUAUUUCCUCCCUUUCCUGUGCCUCUGCUCCUGAACCCCUGACAUCCAUCCCCCUCGAAGCCCCCCUUCCCCCUCCCCUCCUUCAGGUGUGGGUACUGGGUGCUCCGUCGUUGUGGGGGUGAGUGCCGGAUACAGUUCGUCCCCCGUGGCGUGCAUCCAGCCGGAUAAGUCCGGCUCGUCCUCCGUGCUCUCGCCGACCUCAAUUUCCUCUGCUUCCAUCUCUUUGCCGCCGUGCUCGAGCCCAAGGUCCUCCCCCAACACGUCCAUGUCCGUCUCUCCCCGGUCUCCUCCGGGGGCGUUGCCUGCCAAGGACCCCCAACCACUUCCUGCGCCACUGCUCCUCUGGUUGAGUGUCCCACCAAUAGGAACGGUCUGAGGCAGACCCGAGGGUGAUCCCUCCGGGAACGUGCUUCUAGUGCCGGUUCCUCGUCCGAGGUGAACCCCUGGAAUGUGCUAGCUGAAAAUGUGGGUGUGAAAAGCCAGUCGUCGAAAUACUCGGCUGGCAUGGGCCUGUGUGGGAAAAGUGCAUGGAACUCGUCCUUGAGCCAAGAUUCCUCCAGAGCAUAAUCUGGCACCCAACUGUUGGCGCUAGCCGAGGUACCUUCCUUGGCGAGGAGGUAUUCCACUCCCUCCUCGCCCAUCUCGAGUCUAAAAUCUCUGUGACUUCGUUGACGGGUUCCCGCCUUGGCGACCCCCCCCUUGUGGGCGUUUCCCUGAACGGGUCUGGUGCCGUUCCUGGCUCCUGAAAUCUAUGAGGUGCUUUGUAGGGCGUGAGCACUGAUCUAUGGAAAACUGGGUGCAUUCUGGAUCCCUCCGGCAGUGUCAACCGGAAAGCCACUGGAUUGACCUGUGCCUCGACUUGGUAGGGUCCUAGCUGCUUAUGCCCUAGCUUCUUCUUCGCUAACGAUCUGGCCGGCACUGCCUGGGCUGCUAACCAAACCCAGUCUCCCACCUGUAUGUCUUCCCCAACCCUCCUGUGCUUGUCAGCCUGCAGUUUGUAUGCGUGCUUUGCUAGUUCUAACUGCCUCCGAAGCUGUUCGUGAACCUCCUGCAACUCUGAUGCUAAGGCUUCCGCUGCCUGUGGCUCCCCCCCCCCGCGCUCGCUAAUCCCGGGAAGGUUCUGGGAUGCCUCCCGUUGUUGGCGAAGAACGGUGUCACCCCCGUGGACACGUGCUUCGUGUUGUUGUAGGCGAACUCAGCGAGCGGCAGGUAGUCCACCCAUGUUGCCGGCUGCUGAUUUGCGUAGCAUCGCAGGUACUGCUGCAUGAUGGCGUUGACUCGCUCCGCUUGUCCGUUCGUCUGCGGGUGUCUCGCCGACGCUAGGUUGAUCUUGACGUUCAGGAAACCCAUCAGCUUCUGCCAGAAGUUCGAGAUAAACUGUCGCCCCGGUCGGACAGGAUAGACCGUGGCAGACCGUGAACUCUGAACACGUGGUCUAUGAACAGUUUGGCGGUCUGUUCCGCCGUGGCCACCUUCGCGCACGGAAUGAAGUGGGCCAUUUUGGUGAACAUGUCCACCACCACUAGCACUGCCGUCUUGCCCCUCGAGCUGGGUAGAUCCGUGACAAAGUCCAGGGCCACCCUCUCCCACGGUUCGAGCGGUGUCUGCAGGGGUUCGAGCAGUCCCGCCGGCGGUUUGUGCACUGACUUGGCCCUUUGGCAGGUGUCGCACCUCGAGACGUAAUCCGCGACUUCCCCCCCGCAUCUUGGGCCACCAAAAAUCUCUGGCUACUAAUUCUACCGUCUUCUCUUUGCCAAAGUGCCCGGCGGUGGGUGCGUCGUGCAACUGCUGCAGUACUUUCGCGCGGAGGUCGUCUCCCGGUACGUAGAGGGCCCCUCUGCGGAUGAGCAAUCCGUCGCGUAUCUGGAACUCGUCGUCCUCCGCCGUGCCCCUUUGCACCUCUGCCAUCUUUGCUUGCGCGAAGGGGUCCUCCUGCAGUGCUCGACGUACAGCAUCCAGGUCCACGGUUGCUGAAGCGCACGCCCACGCUUUCGGUGCGAAAAUGUGCUUGGCCGCUGCUGGUGCCGCCUCCUCGAGGUAUUGCGGCUUUCUGGACAGUGCAUCCGCCAUGAUGUUGUUGUCGCCUGGGAUGUACUCUAUCCUGAAGUCGAAAUCCGCAAAGAACUCCGCCCAUCGUAUGUGCCUCUGGUUCAGGAACCUUGCCGUGCGCCAGUACUCCAGGUUUUAUGGUCCGUGCGGACCUGCACUGUGUGUUUGGCUCCAAUGAGGAAGUGCCGCCACGCCUUGAAUGCUGCAUGAAUGGCCAGCAACUCCCUGUCCCAGAUGGUGUAGUUCUGCUCUGACUUGCUGAGCUUCCUGGAGUAGAAGGCACACGGUCUCCAGUCCCCAUGCGGGUCUUGCUGCAACAGUACUGCUCCCACGGCUCUGUCUGAGGCGUCCGUUUCAACCCUCAUCGGUCUGCUGGGAUUCACAUGCAGUAGCUGCUCUUCGGACGAGAAGAGGCGGCUUGAGUUUCUGAAAGGACUGCUCCGCUUGCUCCGUCCAGAUGAACUUCUUCUUCUUGGAGCUGAGCGUGUCGGUAAUGGCCGCCGUCUGCAUCGCGAACCCCUUGAUGAACUUGCGGUAAAAGUUGGCGAAACCGACAAACCGCUGGACCUCCUUCCGAUUGCGCGGGCUCUUCCAGUCCAACACUGAGCGAACCUUGGCGCUGUCCAUGGCGAGCCCCUUGUCCGACAACUUGUAGCCCAGGAAAUCUACCUCCUUCAUGUCGAACUGGCACUUCUCCAGCUUGGCGUACAGCCUGUGCUCCUGCAGUCUCUGCAGAACUUCCUUGACGUCUCCCUCGUGGGUCUCCUCUGAUUCUGAAAAUAUCAGGAUGUCGUCCAGGAAGCAGACGCAUUUCUUGUAGAGGAGACCCGCCAAUACGUGAUGCAUGAAGGCUUGAAAACAGUGGGAGCCAUUUUGUAAUCCAAAGGGCAUAACUCUGUAUUCAUAGGUGCCCAGGGCGUGAACAUGGCAGUCUUCCAUUCGUCGCCCUCCCGUAUGCGAAUCAGGUUGUACGCCCCUCGCAGAUCCAACUUUGUGAAAACGCGUCCUUUCCUCACCGUUGCGAGCAGGUCAUCUAUCUUGGGCAUGGGAAAGGCUGUGGGCUUGGUUUUCGAGUUCAAAAUUCUAUAGUCCACCACAAGCCUUUUUUGGGGCGUGUCCUUCUUCUUCACAAAGAAUACAGGACUGCCCCCCCACUGCCUUCGACUCCCGGAUGAAACCGCGCUUCAAGUUGAGGUCUAUGAACUCCCUGAGUUCCUGCAGCUCGUCUUCAGACAUGGAAUACAGUUUCCCGGUUGGCAGCGUCGCCCCUGGCAGGAGGUCAAUCUUGCAGUCAUAAGACCUGUGGGGAGGUAGCUUGUCCGCUUCCUUCUCGCAGAAAACCUCCAAAAACGCUGCGUACUUGAGUGGCACUGCUUGCAGCGUGCCUAAUUGUAGCUGCGGAUCAUCCUCUUCCCCUUCCGGGCUAGGCAGAAUGCAAUGUUCCGCACAGUAUGAGGAGCCGAAGGUCAGUUGUCGCUGGUACCACGCCAAUGCUGGGCUGUGCCUGUGCAGCCAACUCAUGCCUAAUACUAUAGGCGUGUCCGACAGUUGGGUGACAUUGAAGCUGAUGACUUCUCGGUGAUUCCCAAUUUGCAUCACCAUCGGAGGCGUUUGCUGCACCACCUGCCCCCCCAGCAAUUCCCUGCCAUCCACCGUGACAACCUUCAGAGGCAGCGUGGCUGGCAGGAGUGCUAUGUUGUGCUCUUGAAGGAAAUCCAGUCCUAUGAAGUCUGCGUUACUACCAGAGUCAAUGGUAAUCGGCACUUCCAUAGUGAGUCCAUUGGGUAGUUGGAGCGAUGCUGUGAGCUGCACCACUGGUUUGGGCGGGAGGGGUCUGUGGGCUGCAAAAUCUCUGGGGACGGCUUCAUUGACUUGUCUGGUUGGGCCCCAGUGCCUCUUCCUCCAACCAGACUCUGUCGUUUCCCUGCUGUGGUUCUCUCUGCUGAGUUGCUUCUGUUACUGUUGCUGAGGCUGCAGUGUGCUUGUGGAGCCUCUGGGGACACUCUUUCGCCAUGUGCUGAGCACUGUCGCAGAUGUAGCACUUCCUGUUCCCUCUAGGAGGCUUCGCUUUGACUGCUCCCGGUGUUAAGGCUCUGGUUGCUGACUGAGCCCUGGCGCCUCCAAUCUCCAUCGGUUGCUCUCCCCCUCCUUGCGGAGGUGGGGAUUGCACACGCGCUGCAUCCUUGGGAAAGAGGGGAGGUGCUCUCACUGGCGUACGUCCCCAACGUCCUUCUUCUCUAUUCCAUGGACGUUCUUCCAGACGCACCCCAAUUUGCAGCGCCCGCCGGACAACCUCCUGAGUGCUCUUUGGUCUCUCCCCCCUUGCAAUCUCAUCUUUCACAUUUGCAUUCAAGCCUUCCCAAAAAGGUCUCUGGCUGGGGCAGAAUCCUUCUCCCAUCCCAGCGCAUGGACUAAUGCAAAAAGCGGGAAUGGUACUGCCUUACACUGGCUCUGCCUUGUUUGAGCCCAUGUAUGUCUUUUCUGGCGAUAUCAAUGUCUAUAUUUGAUAAAAAACACGAAUCCAUCGCUUUAAUGAAUGCAUCCGCAUUUUGGAGCGCCGGAUCCUUAUCUCUCCACAGAUUGCGCAGCCACGCUUUAGCUUCCCCAUGCAAAUGGGACAAGAUAAACCCCACCUUCUCUUGCUCAUCUCUAAAGUCUUUAUCCAGCAGUUCCAGCGCAAACAGCACGUCUGCUCGGAAGUUAGGGUACUGCUGCAAAUUCCCAUCGAAAUGAGAUACCAGGCUGCCUCCUCUUUUCCCCAGCCCAAUCCCCUCUGAUUUGGGUCCCGGUUGCCCCUGCUUAGCAAGCACUUCCAACCUGGCUUGGAGAUCCCUGCAGGCGGCAGCCGCUUCCUCUUCCCUUUUCCUGGAUGCGAGUACCUCCGCGUUGAGUUGUGUCACUGCAUUUUGCAGGGCUGCUAGUUGCUGUUCUGUAGUCAUCUUGCCUGACUUUUGUGAGCUCGCGAAGCACCAAUCUUCUUCCCUCGCUGCGUCCACUCACGUUACGAGGUUUUUGGUGCAAAACUUUUAGAGAUGGAGCUUACUGUCAGAGCUGGCUCCAGGUCCCAGCUCACAGAGGACCAACGCUAGCCGGCAGUAAUGUACAAAAGUCUUUAUUGAAGUACAGUUUCCAUUUUCAAGCCGGAGCGCCCCAGCUCUACGUCUAGGGGUUAGAUCGGCGAAGCUCCAUCUGAGUCUCCGCCCCCUGUACACCAGUUUAAGAUUCUAGCCUUACUCCACCUCUUACGUCUCUCCUUUCUCCUCUGGGUCCUGCUACCCCCCGGGGUCCCUUCCUUCCUGGAUUCUUCUGACGCUGACCCCCCCUGACUCCUCCCCCUCUUUUCGGCGGGCUUUGGGACCUGGCUCCCUAUCCGGGCUGCCAACUGCGCCGCCCUCCUGUACAUUUGAACUUGGCGCGCGCGCCCAGCCUUCAACCUUCCUCUCGACCGUUUCCUCGCUCCCCGAUGGAGGCGUGGCCAAUCCUGACUCAUGUCCUCCCACUGGCAGUGCGCCGCCUGAUCCCGAUGCCUGGGACUCCUCCCCCCUACUGCACUCUGGUGUGGACGCUGGUCCUGAUUUCCAACUGCUGCUCUCUGAGUCCCCUCUGGCCCCUUCUUCCUGGGGUGUCCCCCUCGGCACCCCCUUGCUCUGACCAAGGGAGCCCCUUUCUGUGAAUCUUCCGAUUCGCUGGAAAGACUCAGAGACCUCGGACCGCUGUCAUCGCUAACAUUUCCUUCGGACUCCUCCCCCUCGCUCUCUAUUUCCUCCCUUUCCUGUGCCUCUGCUCCUGAACCCCUGACAAUUAGGAUAUAUUGUUUGUAAAAAUGCAUACAGGUCUCAGGAUGGGUUACAACAAUUUUAAAUUAAUAAUUAUAAACAAUUAAAUCAUAUUACAGUCAGGGGACUAAUGCACAUUACAGGUGUCAAGGGCCUCGUAAAUUUCUUGCAAAAAUGUGUAUAUGAAACAUAAUUGCUUAGCAGCCUGUAUGUGAGGAGAUAUUUGCACUAAAAUGCUGGUGAAUUUUCACGAGGACUUUGAAAUAAAUAAAUUCCAAACUGAUUGGAAAUGUGGAGUGGCAAAAUGAGAAACAGAGAGGAACCAAAAUUGAAAGAUUUGCUGAUCCCUAGAUGGGUCCAAGUGAGCAUUCUUACUUCAUUUCCCUUUUGGCCCUCCUUGCCCCUGAACUGAGCUUUGUGCCACUGCAAUUUAUUCACACAUGCUCCCUCCACUUAUGAAUUUUUCAAGUCGCUAGAUAAAAUAAUGUUGAAUUUGCACAAUUGCACGUGUACCUAAAAAUGUUAGAUGCAGUGUCAAAAAGGAUUAUUCUCAAAAGGGAGGGAAGAACUUGAAAGCUGGGUGAUUGAGAAAGCAGGGCUCUAGAACGGUGAUGUAGUCAGGUGUAGAAUCAGUCAUGAGAGGUUUAGUGGGUGGAACCACAGGCGACAUGUAAGAAACGGGUGCAUAGAAGCAAUGGCAACGAUACCAUGGAGGCUCUUUUGAAAACAAAAUAAAAUUCAUGCCUCCAGCAAGAUCGAAGAAGGGAGGAUAUUGACCAGGAAGAGGGACACCAUUAGUCUGGUUUACAGAUCCAUCAUGAAGACGUUUGUAUCUCUAAUGAGGUACAAGCUUUUGCCUGAGAGAACCCAAAACUGGGACACUUAAAAAAAGAAAGAAAGAAAUGGGUGACAAAUCGUGGAAUGUAGUGCAAAGUGCUCCACUCUCUUGAGUGUUCAUUAGUAGCAGUUUCUAUGGCCAACUAUAGCUCUGGAUGAACUUCAACAAAAAUGCAACACAGCACUAUUAAAAUAAAAGGGGGGGGGGGAAUGAACCGGCUUUCUAGAACAGGGCGAAACAACUCCUUGUCAAAAGAGUGCUGCGUUGAUGAUGCCAGCUUUUGCAGGCAGAUGUCUGGCACCAAGGAAGAAGGAAAUGACAAGCAGUUUGGGGAGCCAUUUGCCAAAUGAGAGUUGAUGAGAAUUUGAAGGGGGUGGAAAGGAGGAGAGUAGGCGGUCUGGCUCAAGGCCAGCAAACAGUUAACUGUCAGCAGCUGUAAGGAUAGGACAUGGCAGGACUACAGAUGUUGUCACUGAGGGCAUCUCUGCAUAGCAGCUGCCUGCCCUUCAGAUUGACCAGUUUGGCACUCCGGGGAAACGUCCCUGGAAAAGGCAGGGAUCUUUACUUAUUUAAUAUCAUCUCCUUUGUACACAAUAUACGUUAGAUACAAUAAGAUGAGCCAUGCCUGAUCAGGCCAGUGGCUCAUCUAUUCCAGCAUCCUGCUCUCACUGGCGCCAACCAGAGGCCCAAACCCACAAGGUAAUAAAUAACCUUGUUCAACUGGUUUUGUAGCUUCAUGUCAUUCCAUGUUGAUGACUGACAGGUGGGCCCACUAACCUCUUAAGAGUUGUCCUGUUGUAUGAGGGGAUAAAAGUCUUGCUUCCCAGGCCCAAAAUGUUUCCCAGCCCUGCAGUAGAUUUUCUGGUGUGCUCCAGGUGGAAUCCGAAAACAUGUUAGUAUGUAUACUGCUAAGUGGGCUUCCAACAUAAGGUGCUGCCUAUAUGUCCGCUAUGCGGUUGCACAAUAUUGUUCAGAAAGCGAGCCGGACACUUUCUCAUCUAGGCUCAGCUUGAUGAUUUCCAAAAUGCAUAAACAGGGCUCUCCUUGCUUCUUGUGGGUGUGGCAGGUUGAAGCUCUGGGACUAGUGACGUCUGUGAAAUCAAAUCAAGCCCAUUCAAACGAUCAAUUGUUUUUCCCGCAUAACCCAAACUCAGUAUUUUCAAGCUGCUUUCUUUUUGGAUUCGACAAGGAGGUUGGCUGUUAAAUCUCAGGUUGAGUUUAUUAUACUGUCGUGAAUAGAAUCAAAGCUUCCUGUUUGCCGUUAUUGCUCUAAACUGAAACCCCAGUGUACGUUCUUAUUGCUGUUCUUUUCCCUUCCUUAGUUACUGCUUCCCCCCCUCCUUUAAUUUCUUUCUCUUCAUUUAUAACGUCUCACUUAUUUCCUCAGUGAACCUGUAUCUUUUUUUUUAUUUAAAAAACCCCAUUCUUUUCUAAACUCUGUUUCAAAAUAUGUUCUACCAAUGCUAUAUACGUACAAAUAUAUCGAUGCAUAAAAACCUCCCACAAACACACAGGUCAUUGUUUGUUUGUUUUUUGCUUAAAAGCAUGGAUGGAUUGGGGUUUCUUUUGGUGGGAGGGAUGCCACUACAUUGUCAAAAAUACAUCGUGAUUGCAAUGGUGUGCUUUUUGUGAGAGCAGCAAUGCUUUAGCAAACGUCACUGUAAAAUGUCCCUCUUAUCUUUUGAAAUAAUUGCAUGGCCAUCAGCUGGACGAUCACUUUGGGGACCGUUCCUUAGUAAUAAAAGCAUACACUCUGCAUGAAAAUGUCCCAAGUUCAAUCCCUGGCACCUAUAGUUAAAAUGAUCGAGACUCAAAACUCCUUCAUGCCGAAAUUUAUGACAGCUGCAGAACAGAUGAUACUGCGCUAGAUGAACAAAUAGUCUGGCCUAGCAUAAGGCAUAUUAUCAUAAUGCGAGUGAGGAAUGGUGAUCUUAGAGUGGCCAUGUGUCCUACUUUACAGAGGACAGUGCUCCAUUUGAAGAACUGUUGGAGGACUGCUCUUUGUUUGAAUAAAUCAUCCCUUUUCACAAGCUGCCUGGUUUAAAGAACCUUAAGGAGGUACCUUGAAGAUGCUCACCAACAAUUGUAACCUGGAUACCAGACUCAGCAGGCAGGUACACAGGUCUACAAUGGUGAGAUGUAAAAGUAAAGGACCCCUGGAUGGUUAAGUCCAGUCAAAGGUGGCUAUGGGGUUGCAGCAUUCAUCUCACUUUUCAGACCAAGGGAGCUGGCAUUUGUCCACAGACAGCUUUCUGGGUCAUGACUAAACCACUUCUGGCACAAUGGAACACAGUGACAGAAGCCAUAGCACACGGAGACACCGUUUACCUUCCCACUGCAGCAAUACCUAUUUAUCUACUUGCACUGGCCUGCUUUCGAACUGCUAGGUUGGCAGGAGCUGGGACAGAGUAACAGGAGCUCACUCCGUUGCAGGGAUUUGAACCGCCGACCUUCUGAUCGGCAAGCCCAAGAGGCUCAGUGGUUUAGACCACAGCGCCACCCGCGUCCCGUAUAGUGAGAUGUAUGGUGAGAUGUAUUGGACUCCAGGUGGUCCAGGGCCUAAACUCUUCACAGUUAAGUAGGCUGGCCAGCAAGUUUUGGCUGUCAUAAUUUACUUUUUCUAUAUCUCUUUUGUGUCUAUGUUGGCAACGGAGCGGGAAAUGGGUGCUGAGAUGGAUUUGGCUCGGGGCUUCCCAUUGCUCAUCCUUGCUGUAACAUGUUUAUUCUAGUACAUCUACUGCACCUGUCUGUGCCGCUCUUGCAUUCUUGUUUCCUGACCCCACCCCUACUUCUCAGUGAAGUUCUGUUGACUGUUCCCUUUUCAACUUGUAUUGACCGUGGGAAAUAUGAGAGCAGCAGCGAGGUUGGAGAAUUCCAAAAGAAACAGAAACAGGAGUGGAAAUUGCUGAUGUUUGCUUAUUUGUCCCAUGUCUGGAAUGGAAAUCAAUCCAGGACUUCCGGGGGAGGCGCCUCCGGUAAUGGCAGAAUUCCUCUGACCGGGAGGAAUCUGCUCCGUGGAAAUCUGGGUCUGGCCGCCACGGCGAAGGCGGAGACCCGUUAAAAUCACAGGCGGGAGAAGCCUGUGAACGUGGGAUUCGGCGGGCACCUUUUGCACCUCCCCCACUCGCGGGGAACCCUGGUUUUUGGGGCUCCGGAGCGAUGUGGGGUGAGCAGCGCAGUGCAUCGAAUCGUCUGCUUCUUCCACGGAGCGAAGCCGCAUAGCUGCUGCUGGAGAGCGCUGACCUUUUCCUGUGGACAAUUUGACUUUAAAGUAAUUACCCGUGAGUAGAGCUGAAACGGAAGAAUUGGAUUUCUAAAAGUUUAAUUUGGUAUCGUAACAGGGAGGUUCAAAACAGGAAGUCCGCCUUCCCUUUUGUAAAUAGACUGAGGCAAUGAAGUUGCAAGCUGGAGUCCUGGAAGGUCUUUUGUAAAAGAUCAAAUUUCCAACAGUUAAGAACAUUAAACCCCUCUUGGAGGCAGGAGAAGAGGGGGGAAGUUGCGGAUUGAGUAUGCCUGUGGGAGAGAGCGAAGAGAUUUAAAACACCGCCGCUCUGACCCUGGAAACGGGCUGCUAGUAGGACUGACGUCUUUUGGAAUGUUCAUUGACAGCGCUUAGAACGUUCAUUGACAGCUAGCUAAAUAAGAGAAAUACAUGGUUUCUACUGUCUUCGGCUGCUUUAAAAAGGAGUAAAAGUAACUGAAAAUUGAAACUAAUUUGAAACUAACUUUGGAUUGUUUAAAAGAGGAUACUAUUGACUAUUACAAAUAGAAACUGUUUCCCCCUAGUGGAAGCCUUUGAAACUGGUUGAUAUACAAGCGUUGGACUAGGGGAAUUUCCAGCUGCAAGUUAAAAACCGUGAGACUCUGGGACUGACCUUGAAUCUUUCAAAUGUUUUGGUAAAUGGAAGAGGAAAAACAGACCAGUCAACUGUUGAUAAAACAUUAAGGUCUGGGAGGACUUGGUAACAAUCCAGGAGAGGUCUAUUAUUAGGCCCUCCUGUUCUUAUCGUUGCUGUCUUUGUACUAGUAUAUUUGAAACUAAGAGGAAUGUCGACAGAAGAGGCUUUGGUGGCUGCAUUAUAUAAGAUAAAUGACUCAUUGGAUCAGCUUCACAGGAAAAUGGACAUGAUAAAUGUGAAAGUAGAUGUUUCAAUUGUUGAGGUUGACUUGAAUGCAGGGAGUAUGGACAAUACCAAUACAGAAACCACCCAGAAAUUGAUACAAGAACAUAUUCUGAUAUGGCAAGCUGUGGAGGAAGUCAAGGAAAAAGCUGUUGCUGUUGAAGGUACAGAAACACAACUGGAGAGAAAGAGAAAGAGAGCCCCAGCCAUACAGAGGCAAUUUGAUGAACAUAAGUUGACGCUCUCUAUGACUGAACUUAAGGAAAAACAGACAAAUUUGAGGAUUAGAGUUCACCUUUGGUGGACAUGCCCAAGGAUUAAGACACUCUGGGAGAUGAUUCAUAACGAAAUGAAAAAGGUAUUUAAAUAUACCCUUUUGAAGAAACCAGAGGCCUUUCUCCUGGGCAUGGUCAGUCAAUUGGUGUUAAAGAAGGAUAGAAUUUGUCUCAUGUAUGCAACAAUAGCAGCAAGAAUACUCAUUGUGAAGUACUGGAAGACACAAAAUUUAUCCAUUCGGGAAGAAUGGCAGAUGAAGUUGAUGGACUAUAUGGAAUUGGCGGAAACGACUGGCAGAAAUCCGAGACCAGGGAGAUGAGCUGGUGGAAGAAGACUGGGAAAAGUUUAAGACUAUUUAUAGAAAUACUGUAAAAAUAAUGAAUGUUUGAAAAAUGUUGGAAUGAAGUUAUAUGGCUUUAGUAGAAAUGCUAUAAGGAAUUAAGUAUAAAUAGAUUAAUAGUGUAUUAAAGGGAAAAUAAGGCUAGAAUAUGUUAAGAUAAUUAUAGGAUAGAAAACAGAGGAAGAUGGAAAGGAAUUGCUGAAAUAAUUAAUAGAAGUGGAAAACAGAAAGGGAGGUGUGAGGAGGUCGUGGAAAUAAGGGAAUGAAAGAUAAGACAUUGAAAUUGUUCCGUGUUUGAAAUGGUUUGUGUCAUGCUUUGUUAGUUUUAUGUUUUUCUGUUUUUUCAUUUUUUGUUCUGUUUUUUUUUGGGUCUUUCUGUUUUGUUGUGUUUAAAUGGUUGAAAAUUAAUAAAUAUUAUUUUUUUAAAAAAGGAAUGGAAAUCAAUCCAGAGAAUGUGAUCAGUAUUCCCUGCUGUUGCUGCUUUCACUCUGCAAACAUGACAUAACUGAUGGUGUCCCCACCCCAAUUUGUGUUGUCUUUCCUUUGCAUUGAAAUGAAUAGGAUGGAGUAACAUAAUAACAACAUAAUGUAUGUAACUUAUGUCAUUAAUUGCAUAGGUUUUGCAUUUUUUGCCACAGCAACAUGAACAGAGAUCUAUGGAUGGAGGGCAGUAUACAAAUUUAAUUAAACAACAACAACAACAUAACUUUUAGUAGGAGGCAAACUGCGGAGGAAUGGAGAAAGUGUUGCAUGCAACAAAUACAGGAUAGAAUGGAAAAUGAUGCCUUUUUAUCUCCCUAGGGAAUGCUGCCUCCAUCUAGAUCAGGGUAGUCCAACAUGUGGCCCACAAGGCCAUUUUUUGUGGCCCGCCAGCUCCCCACCCUCUACCUCACCCAGGACAGCUCAGCCAAGCUGGCAGAGACAGCGGCGAGUGUGUGUGCCACAGCCAAAGGCAGGCAGGCUGUUGCUGCUCCUCCUCCUCAGCUGCUGCAGGAGCUCUGGGUUGCCACCAGGCUGCGCUCUUGGGCCUGCUUGGAGCAUGGCUGCAUGCCCAGGCUGCUGGGGCUCAGGAAGUGGGCGGUGCAGAGAAGAAGUGUGGUGUGUGUAUGUUUGUGUUUCAGUACAGAAGACUUUGUUGUAUGGGAUCAAUUCCAAUCUGUUACCCCCAAGGAUGUGGGCAGGCUGCUUGGAUGAGUGAAACCAACUACUUGUCUCCUUGAUCCUUGCCCAUCCCGGCUUAUAAAAGCUAGCCGGGAAGGACUGGGCGAUGGGCUUCGUGGGGGUGGUGAAUGCUUCCCUCCAUGAGGGAGCCUUCCCAGACCCGCUGAAAGAGGCAGUUAUUAAACCGCUUCUUAAAAAAACCAUCUUUAGAUGCGGCCACGAUGGCCAACUAUCACCCAGUGUCAAAUUUACCAUUCUUGGGCAAGGUGAUUGAGUGAGUGGUUGCUGAACAACUCCAGGCACGCCUGGAAGAAGCGGACCAUUUGGAUCCCUUCCAGUCGGGAUUCAGGCCUCAUCACGGGACUGAAACUGCCUUGGUCGCACUGGUUGAUGAUCUCCGGCGGGCUAGGGACAAAGGUGAGAGCUGUUUCCUAGUUCUGCUGGAUCUCUCAGCGGCGUUUGAUACCAUCGACCAUAACAUCCUUCUGGACCGUCUUGAGGGGCUGGGAGCUGGGGGCACUGUUAUACAGUUGUUCCGCUCCUUUCUCCUGGGCCGUGUUCAGAAAGCGGUGGUGGGGGAUGAGUGUUCAGACCCCUGGGCUCUCACUUGUGGGGUGCCUCAGGGUUCUGUCCUCUCGCCCAUGCUUUUCAACAUUUACAUGCAGCCACUGGGAGAGAUCAUCAGGAGGUUUGCGCUGGGUGUUCAUCAGUAUGCGGAUGAUACCCAGCUCUACCUCUCUUUUAAAUCAGAACCACUGAAGGCGGUGAAGGUCCUGUGUGAGUGUCUGGAGGCGGUUGGAGGAUGGAUGGCGGCUAACAGAUUGAGGUUGAAUCCUGACAAGACAGAAGUACUGUUUUGGGGGACAGGAGGCGGGCAGGUGUGGAGGAUUCCCUGGUCCUGAAUGGGGUAACUGUGCCCCUGAAGGACCAGGUGCGCAGCCUGGGAGUCAUUUUGGACUCGCAGCUGUCCAUGGAGGCACAGGUCAAAUCUGUGUCCAGGGCAGCUGUUUACCAGCUCCAUCUGGUACGCAGGCUGAGACCCUACCUGCCUGCAGACUGCCUCGCCAGAGUGGUGCAUGCUCUGGUUAUCUCCCGCUUAGACUACUGCAAUGCGCUCUACGUGGGGCUACCUUUGAAGGUGACCCGAAAACUACAAUUAAUUCAGAAUGCGGCAGCUAGACUAGUGACUGGGAGUGGCCGCCGAGACCACAUAACACCGGUCUUAAAAGACCUACAUUGGCUCCCAGUACGUUUCCGAGCACAAUUCAAAGUAUUGGUGUUGACCUUUAAAGCCCUAAACGGCCUCGGCCCAGUAUACCUGAAGGAGCGUCUCCACCCCCAUUGUUCUGCCCGUACACUGAGGUCCAGCGCCGAGGGCCUUCUGGCGGUUCCCUCAUUGCGAGAAGCAAAGCUACAGGGAACCAGGCAGAGGGCCUUCUCGGUAGUGGCGCCUGCCCUGUGGAACGCCCUCCCUUCAGAUGUCAAAGCGAUCAACAAUUACCUGACAUUCAGAAGACAUCUUAAGGCAGCCCUGUUCAGGGAAGUUUUUGAUGUGUGAUUUUAGUGUAUUUUUGGUUUCUAUGGAAGCCGCCCAGAGUGGCUGGGGAAACCCAGCCACAUGGGUGGGGUACAAAUAAUAAAUUAUUAUUAUUAUUAUUAUUAUUAUUAUUAUUAUUAUUUCUUUUUUGCAGUGCAGAGAAGUUUGAGCUUUGGGAUGCACCAAUUGAUGGGGGAGAGAAAGGGGUUUUGGUGCAGAGAAGAAGCAUAGGGUGUGUGGGUGGGUGUCUGUGAACAAGCAUUUUCAAACAUGAACUUCAUAAAGUCCAGAAUUCGAAACAACUUAGCAGACAAUUCACUCAAGAGUUGCCUGCAGAUGUCAACAACCAACCUCAAGGCGGACAUCAGUCAACUUGUCAAGAAUCCUCUCCUAUCUCAGACAUCCCAUUGAUAUGUGCCUUGUUAACAAAAGUGC
RNAcentral lists this long non-coding RNA (21133 nucleotides) under Podarcis lilfordi (Lilford's wall lizard). The record is from RNAcentral. Lineage: Eukaryota; Metazoa; Chordata; Lepidosauria; Squamata; Lacertidae.